GACGAACGCUGGCGGCGUGCUUAACACAUGCAAGUCGAACGGAAAGGCCCUGCUUUUGGGGUGUUCUCGAGUCGCACACGUGUGUGUCACGUGUGUGUAACCUGCCCUUGUUUUUGGUAUACCUUCAAGACUCGGUGUCUUAUCGCAGAUAGGACCUCCUGCGUCAUGGGGUGGGAUGGAAAGUUUCGUCGGGUGGGGGUUGACUCGCGGCUUAUCUGCUUGUUGGUGGGUUAGUGGCUUACCAAGGGUCGGACGGGUAGCCGGCCUGGGUGGGUGACCGGCAAAAUUGGGCCUGAGAUACGGCCAAGACCCCUACGGGAGGCAGCAGUGGGGAAUAUUCAAAAAUGGGGGGAAGCCUGAGGCAGCAACGCCGGGUGGGGGAUGACGGCUUUCGGGUUGUAAACCGCUUUGGCAUGUAAGGAACCGUGUGUGACGGUAAUUAGUAAAGAAGCACCGGCUAACUACGUG
Molecule: ribosomal RNA, 468 nt
Filed under: uncultured bacterium
Lineage: Bacteria
Description: partial 16S ribosomal RNA
Rfam family: Bacterial small subunit ribosomal RNA
Source: RNAcentral